This 324-nucleotide ribosomal RNA is filed under the name uncultured eukaryote. RNAcentral's name for it is "partial 18S ribosomal RNA". It matches the Rfam family "Eukaryotic small subunit ribosomal RNA", at positions 1470 to 1796 of the family's 1831-position model. The record is from RNAcentral.
CCCUUAGAUGCUCUGGGCCGCACGCGCGCUACACUGAUGCAUUCAACGAGUUUUUCCUGGUCCGAGAGGAAUGGGUAACCUUUUGAAAGUGCAUCGUGCUAGGGAUAGACUAUUGCAAUUAUUGGUCUUCAACGAGGAAUUCCUAGUAGACGUAGUUCAUCAGACUGCAUCGAUUACGUCCCUGCCCUUUGUACACACCGCCCGUCGCUCCUACCGAUUGAGUGCUCAGGUGAAUAAUUCGGACUGCAGCAAUGUUUGGAUCCCGAACGUUGCAGCGGAAAGUUUAGUGAACCUUAUCACUUAGAGGAAGGAGAAGUCGUAACA